Myodes glareolus (Bank vole) is the source of this 499-nucleotide non-coding RNA. NCBI's taxonomy places the organism in Eukaryota, Metazoa, Chordata, Mammalia, Rodentia, Cricetidae. The record is from RefSeq and is a predicted model, not a curated record.
GUAGGUAGAUCGGGGGCUGAGAGAAUGAGUAUUUAAAACGUAGACUGGAAACACUCUUUCUCUCGCCGUUAUAUAUUCACUUGGUCCUUUUGGGAAUUUCAUUGUAGGUUCCUAUUGAAGAAUAAGAAGGUUAUACUCUUCUCAGAAGAUAAAUUGUCACCCCGAUACUGGUUCAGAGCGUCAGCAGUGGCCUUCCACCACAUUUUCCGAAGUUGUGAAGGUGAAUAAUGGGCAGCCCCGACUGAGAGCAGGUAGCCGAGUGGAGAAAGGAAAAAGACCAGCACAGAGUUCAGAUCUUCCUCCCGUGCUCAGGAAUGGCCACCAACGCCACUGCAUGGGGCCUCCCCUUGUUUGCUUCUGGAAACCACAUGUGUACUCCGUAAGGGUUUGGCUGGGGUGGUUAGUUCCUCUUGCACAUUGUUUUUGUAGAACCUAAAGAAAUGCUACUUUCAAGGUUUAUCAAGGAUGUGUUUCAAAUAAAAAUGUCCUCCUCACAUUU